This 253-nucleotide ribosomal RNA is filed under the name uncultured bacterium. Its description in RNAcentral is "partial 16S ribosomal RNA". It matches the Rfam family "Bacterial small subunit ribosomal RNA", at positions 524 to 776 of the family's 1533-position model. The record is from RNAcentral.
UACGAAGGGGGCUAGCGUUGCUCGGAAUUACUGGUCGUAAAGCGCACGUAGGCGGAUUGUUAAGUCGGGGGUGAAAUCCUGGAGCUCAACUCCAGAACUGCCUUCGAUACUGGCGAUCUCGAGUUCGGGAGAGGUGAGUGGAACUGCGAGUGUAGAGGUGAAAUUCGUAGAUAUUCGCAAGAACACCAGUGGCGAAGGCGGCUCACUGGCCCGAUACUGACGCUGAGGUGCGAAAGCGUGGGGAGCAAACAGG